This 452-nucleotide ribosomal RNA is filed under the name uncultured organism. RNAcentral's name for it is "partial 16S ribosomal RNA". It matches the Rfam family "Bacterial small subunit ribosomal RNA", at positions 333 to 801 of the family's 1533-position model. The record is from RNAcentral.
ACACUCCUGCGGGAGGCAGCAGUGGGGAAUAUUGGACAAUGGGCGCAAGCCUGAUCCAGCCAUGCCGCGUGAGUGAUGAAGGCCCUAGGGUUGUAAAGCUCUUUCACCGGUGAAGAUAAUGACGGUAACCGGAGAAGAAGCCCCGGCUAACUUCGUGCCAGCAGCCGCGGUAAUACGAAGGGGGCUAGCGUUGUUCGGAUUUACUGGGCGUAAAGCGCACGUAGGCGGACUAUUAAGUCAGGGGUGAAAUCCCGGGGCUCAACCCCGGAACUGCCUUUGAUACUGAUAGUCUUGAGUUCGAGAGAGGUGAGUGGAAUUCCGAGUGUAGAGGUGAAAGUCGUAGAUAUUCGGAGGAACACCAGUGGCGAAGGCGGCUCACUGGCUCGAUACUGACGCUGAGGUGCGAAAGCGUGGGGAGCAAACAGGAUUAGAAACCCGAGUAGUCCCAUGAU